This 327-nucleotide ribosomal RNA is filed under the name Dendryphiella sp. crri.6. RNAcentral's name for it is "eukaryotic LSU rRNA". The stretch from base 1 to 108 matches the Rfam family "5.8S ribosomal RNA", at positions 39 to 154 of the family's 154-position model. The record is from RNAcentral. Lineage: Eukaryota; Fungi; Ascomycota; Dothideomycetes; Pleosporales; Dictyosporiaceae.
AAAAACGAUGCGAUAGUAGUGUGAAUUGCAGAAUUCAGUGAAUCAUCGAAUCUUUGAACGCACAUUGCGCCCCUUGGUAUUCCAUGGGGCAUGCCUGUUCGAGCGUCAUUUGUACCCUCAAGCUUUGCUUGGUGUUGGGCGUUUGUCUCGCGUUGCGCGUAGACUCGCCUUAAAGCGAUUGGCAGCCGGCAUAUUGGCCUUGGAGCGCAGCACAUUUUGCGAAUCCAGUCAUUUAUGUUGGCGUCCAUUAAGCCUAUACAUUUUGCUCUUGACCUCGGAUCAGGUAGGGAUACCCGCUGAACUUAAGCAUAUCAAUAAGCGGAGGAA